AUUGAACGCUGGCGGCAGGCCUAACACAUGCAAGUCGAGCGUAUGAAGGGAGCUUGCUCCUGGAUUCAGCGGCGGACGGGUGGGUAAUGCCUAGGAAUCUGCCUGGUAGUGGGGGAUAACGUCCGGAAACGGGCGCUAAUACCGCAUACGUCCUGAGGGAGAAAGUGGGGGAUCUUCGGACCUCACGCUAUCAGAUGAGCCUAGGUCGGAUUAGCUAGUUGGUGGGGUAAAGGCCUACCAAGGCGACGAUCCGUAACUGGUCUGAGAGGAUGAUCAGUCACACUGGAACUGAGACACGGUCCAGACUCCUACGGGAGGCAGCAGUGGGGAAUAUUGGACAAUGGGCGAAAGCCUGAUCCAGCCAUGCCGCGUGUGUGAAGAAGGUCUUCGGAUUGUAAAGCACUUUAAGUUGGGAGGAAGGGCAGUAAGUUAAUACCUUGCUGUUUUGACGUUACCAACAGAAUAAGCACCGGCUAACUUCGUG
Molecule: ribosomal RNA, 484 nt
Filed under: uncultured bacterium
Lineage: Bacteria
Description: partial 16S ribosomal RNA
Rfam family: Bacterial small subunit ribosomal RNA
Source: RNAcentral